GGGGCCGUAGAUGCUUACACAUGCAGUCGAUUCAAGUUACCUUCGGGUAAUGAGGAUGGCGGACGGGUGAGUAACGCGUAAGGAACUUGCCUCUUGGACUGGGACAACUGUUGGAAACGACAGCUAAUACCGGAUAUUCUGAGAUUCUCGCAUGAGAAACUUAUGAAAGCUAUAUGCACCAAGAGAGAGCCUUGCGUUCCAUUAGCUAGUUGGUGGGGUAACGGCCCACCAAGGCGACGAUGGAUAGCCGGCCUGAGAGGGUGAACGGCCACAAGGGGACUGAGACACGGCCCUUACUCCUACGGGAGGCAGCAGUGGGGAAUAUUGGACAAUGGGCCACAAGCCUGAUCCAGCAAUUCUGUGUGCACGAUGAAGGUCUUCGGAUUGUAAAGUGCUUUCAGUUGGGAAGAAGAAAGUGACGGUACCAACAGAAGAAGCGACGGCUAAAUACGUGCCAGCAGCCGCGGUAAUACGUAUGUCGCAAGCGUUAUCCGGAUUUAUUGGGCGUAAAGCGCGUCUAGGCGGAAAAAUAAGUCUGAUGUUAAAAUGCGGGGCUCAACUCCGUAUUGCGUUGGAAACUGUUUUUCUAGAGUACUGGAGAGGUGGGCGGAACUACAAGUGUAGAGGUGAAAUUCGUAGAUAUUUGUAGGAAUGCCGAUGGAGAAGUCAGCUCACUGGACAGAUACUGACGCUGAAGCGCGAAAGCGUGGGGAGCAAACGGGAUUAGAUACCCUGGUAGUCCACGCCGUAAACGAUGAUCACUAGGUGGUUGGGGGUCGAACCUCAGCGCCCAAGCUAACGCGAUAAGUGAUCCGCCUGGGGAGUACGCACGCAAGUGUGAAACUCAAAGGAAUUGACGGGGACCCGCACAAGCGGUGGAGCAUGUGGUUUAAUUCGACGCAACGCGAGAAACCUUACCAGCGUUUGACAUCCUAAGAAGUUUCCAGAGAUGGAUUCGUGCCGGCUUGCCGGAACUUAAUGACAGGUGGGGCAUGGCUGUCGGCAGCUCCUGUCGGGAGAUGUUGGGGUAGGUCCGCGACGAGCGCAUCCCUAUUGGUUGUGCUACCGUGAGGUGAGCAUCGUGGAAACUGCUGCGAUACAGGAGGAAGAGUGUGAAGGCGUGUAUUGGGUUGCCGUGUUGUGUGGUGUUGUCGAGUGGA
RNAcentral lists this ribosomal RNA (1160 nucleotides) under uncultured bacterium. RNAcentral's name for it is "bacterial SSU rRNA". It matches the Rfam family "Bacterial small subunit ribosomal RNA", at positions 36 to 1226 of the family's 1533-position model. The record is from RNAcentral.